UUGAAAAGUUAGCGGAUGACCUGUGGAUCGGAGUGAAAGGCUAAUCAAGCUCGGAGAUAGCUGGUUCUCCUCGAAAGCUAUUUAGGUAGCGCCUCGUGUAUCACUGCUGGGGGUAGAGCACUGUUUCGGCUAGGGGGUCAUCCCGACUUACCAAACCGAUGCAAACUCCGAAUACCAGCAAGUGUCAGCACGGGAGACACACGGCGGGUGCUAACGUCCGUCGUGAAAAGGGAAACAACCCAGACCGUCAGCUAAGGUCCCAAAGUUAUGGUUAAGUGGGAAACGAUGUGGGAAGGCUUAGACAGCUAGGAGGUUGGCUUAGAAGCAGCCAUCCUUUAAAGAAAGCGUAAUAGCUCACUAGUCGAGUCGGCCUGCGCGGAAGAUGUAACGGGGCUCAAACCAUACACCGAAGCUACGGGUUCAUCCUUUGGAUGAGCGGUAGAGGAGCGUUCUGUAAGCCUGUGAAGGUGAGUUGAGAAGCUUGCUGGAGGUAUCAGAAGUGCGAAUGCUGACAUGAGUAACGACAAUGCGAGUGAAAAACUCGCACGCCGAAAGACCAAGGUUUCCUGCGCAACGUUAAUCGACGCAGGGUUAGUCGGCCCCUAAGGCGAGGCAGAAAUGCGUAGUCGAUGGGAAACGGGUUAAUAUUCCCGUACUUCUAGUUACUGCGAUGGAGGGACGGAGAAGGCUAGGCCAGCACGGCGUUGGUUGUCCGUGUUUAAGGUGGUAGGCUGAGAUCUUAGGUAAAUCCGGGAUCUUAAGGCCGAGAGCUGAUGACGAGCGUUCUUUUAGAAUGCGAAGUGGUUGAUGCCAUGCUUCCAGGAAAAGCUUCUAAGCUUCAGGUAACUAGGAACCGUACCCCAAACCGACACAGGUGGUUAGGUAGAGAAUACCAAGGCGCUUGAGAGAACUCGGGUGAAGGAACUAGGCAAAAUGGCACCGUAACUUCGGGAGAAGGUGCGCCGGUGAGGGUGAAGUAUUUACUGCGUAAGCCCAUGCCGGUCGAAGAUACCAGGCCGCUGCGACUGUUUAUUAAAAACACAGCACUCUGCAAACACGAAAGUGGACGUAUAGGGUGUGACGCCUGCCCGGUGCCGGAAGGUUAAUUGAUGGGGUUAGCGCAAGCGAAGCUCUUGAUCGAAGCCCCGGUAAACGGCGGCCGUAACAAUAACGGUCCUAAGGUAGCGAAAUUCCUUGUCGGGUAAGUUCCGACCCGCACGAAAGGCGUAAUGAUUUGGAUACUGUCUCGGAGAGGGGCUCGGUGAAAUAGACUUGUCUGUGAAGAUGCGGACUACCUGCACCAGGACAGAAAGACCCUAUGAAGCUUUACUGUAACUUGAAAUUGAAAUUGGACUUUAUUUGCGCAGUAUAGGUGGGAGGCGUUGAUAAUAUUCUUGCGGGAAUAUUGGAGCCAUCAGUGAGAUACCACUCUUGUAAUGUUAGAUUUCUAACUUUGAAUCAUUAUCUGGUCAAAGAACAGUUUCAGGCGGGCAGUUUGACUGGGGCGGUCGCCUCCCAAAUGGUAACGGAGGCGUACAAAGGUUUCCUCUGAACGUGUAGAAAUCGUAUCUAGAGUGUAAAGGCAUAAGGAAGCUUGACUGUGAGACUUACAAGUCGAGCAGGGACGAAAGUCGGUCUUAGUGAUCUGACGGUACUGAGUGGAAAGGCCGUCACUCAACGGAUAAAAGUUACUCUAGGGAUAACAGGCUGAUCUCCCCCAAGAGUUCACAUCGACGGGGAGGUUUGGCACCUCGAUGUCGGCUCAUCACAUCCUGGGGCUGAAGCCGGUCCCAAGGGUAUGGCUGUUCGCCAUUUAAAGUGGUACGCGAGCUGGGUUUAGAACGUCGUGAGACAGUUCGGUCCCUAUCUGCCGUGGACGUUUGAGAUUUGAGAGGGGCUGACCUUAGUACGAGAGGACCGGGUUGGACGAACCUCUGGUGUUCCGGUUGUCACGCCAGUGGCAUUGCCGGGUAGCUAUGUUCGGAAAAGAUAACCGCUGAAAGCAUCUAAGCGGGAAACUUGCCUCAAGAUGAGAUCUCACUGGAGCCUUGAGCUCCCUAAAGGGCCGUCGAAGACUACGACGUUGAUAGGUGGGGUGUGUAAGCGCUGUGAGGCGUUGAGCUAACCCAUACUAAUUGCCCGUGAGGCUUGACC
Molecule: ribosomal RNA, 2154 nt
Filed under: Craspedostauros australis
Lineage: Eukaryota; Bacillariophyta; Bacillariophyceae; Mastogloiales; Achnanthaceae
Description: partial Bacterial large subunit ribosomal RNA
Rfam family: Bacterial large subunit ribosomal RNA
Source: RNAcentral